ACAGCAGUAGCCGCGGGAAUACAGAGGGUGCGAGCGUUAAUCGGAUUUACUGGGCGUAAAGCGUGCGUAGGCGGCUUUUUAAGUCGGAUGUGAAAUCCCUGAGCUUAACUUAGGAAUUGCAUUCGAUACUAAGAAGCUAGAGUAUGGGAGAGGAUGGUAGAAUUCCAGGUGUAGCGGUGAAAUGCGUAGAGAUCUGGAGGAAUACCGAUGGCGAAGGCAGCCAUCUGGCCUAAUACUGACGCUGAGGUACGAAAGCAUGGGGAGCAAACAGGAUUAGAUACCCGUGUAGUCCCUGUCUCUUAUAA
This 305-nucleotide ribosomal RNA is filed under the name uncultured bacterium. RNAcentral describes it as "partial 16S ribosomal RNA". It matches the Rfam family "Bacterial small subunit ribosomal RNA", at positions 508 to 809 of the family's 1533-position model. The record is from RNAcentral.